This 3329-nucleotide long non-coding RNA is filed under the name Triticum aestivum (bread wheat). RNAcentral's name for it is "long non-coding RNA (TAES_LNC017675)". Lineage: Eukaryota; Viridiplantae; Streptophyta; Magnoliopsida; Poales; Poaceae. The record is from RNAcentral.
CCCUGUUUUCGUCUUGGAUACGUACAUGCUUCCGUGUAAUAUUGAUUGAAUAAUACUAGAUCUGCAUCUAUGCAUGUAUGAUGCAUAUGUGAGUGCUACCUCUAGGAAGUACAUGAACAUCAUGUAAUCCGAACAAAGUUUCAACAGGGAACCAGUUCAAGUUGAAUAACCCAAGACCCCAGAAUUGGAGCUGCUACUGUUUUGGCGGUUGAAACGAAUAUAAGCUUAAAAACUAUAGAACAAAUGAGACAUGAAGCUUUACUAGAAGUCUAGAAGGGAAGUCAUAAUUCGUAAGAAAGUGGGAGCAGACAUAGCACGACAGCUGAAGAUUUGGCCACCACGAACAUAAAAUUGGGUGCCUUCUCCUCCACCAUCUUGAGCUCUUCGGCCGCCACCUUUCUUUCCUUGGCCGCCGCCCUCCGCCGCUCGGCUUCCCUCCUCUCUUCCAUUUAUUUUGACUUCAACUUUUUUUCUUCGGCAUAGUCUUUCCUUGCAGUGACAAUGGCGUCAAACCCUUAUUUAAGAUCAUUGUCUCCAGCCUUCGAACCCUUUGUUUUCUUAUUUCCAUCCAGCCUAUAUGACUUGGUCGCCGAGUGAGGAGUGGGGCUCCUUCUCUCCUUACCACAGACAUCAUCAUCAAUCCUCACGAUCAACAACCACACUUUUCUUCUUCGAAGCAUCAUAAACUUCUCAAGUCUUUCACUUCUUCUCAUCCUUGAGCUCCUUGUAGCAAUUGAUGAAAAGUGAAGGCUUUUCCUUUCUUUUUCCUCUUCUCUCCUUUGUUGUUUCUUUCUUGAAACAAUCCUUGCGCAGUCAUUUUCUACAACGAAACAACAAAAGCGACAUCAUCAAUUUAGGAACAUAUGCAGACUUGGGCAAUGUAGAGAAAACAAACACAAGUAGCAAGCAAUUACCAUGUCACUAUCACCGCAACCACUAGAGUUGAUGCAACCAACAUUUGUUAAGCAACCCGUCCACUUUUGGCAUUCGGCAUUGACGGUGCCCCAACGUUGACGAAUAAAAUCCCUUGAUCUAUAGUGUCCACUAGUAUUGCACUCAUCAAAAUAUUCCUUGAUGCAGUCCCAAUAGGUGUUCGCGGCUGGGUCACUCCCCACGGAUGCAUCAAUGGAGAUUCGCUUCCACGCAGUGCAAAUCAAGCCAUCUUCGGCGUUGGUAUAAUUUGUGCUUCUUCCCUUGAAAAUAAAGCCCUCAUUGUCCAUGUCGAGAUUAUCAUCAUCAAAUUGAGUAUCACAUUCUUGUGAUGCAUACUCUUGAGAGAAAUAAUCUUCGUUUACGCCAUUUGUCACGUGCAUGAAUGCUUCAUCAUCAAGACUACAAGUGGACGUACACACAAUCUCACAUUCUACUCGUACCAGAAAUGAAAAUAACAUACAAAAAGAAAAAAAAAUACCUUUGCAAAUUUCGUCGAGCACAUUGGAGGCGGUGUCGCGGGCGUGGCCGAGUCUUCCUCCAUGGGCGGCGGCGGGGCUUGCGGUGGUGGAGGAGGCCCAUGUUCGGUGGCAGUUGCCGCGGCCGCCAGCGGCAUCGAAUCGGCCGAAGCAGCCGCAGUCGCCUUUUUCAUCUUCACCACUCGAGAUUGAGUCGUGGCGGGGUUGCACACCGUCGGCCGCUUCGCGCCUCCACCAUGGGGUUUAGCCGCCGGCUGCUUCAUCACCGGCGGCGCACCUGUUCCUGCCGCAGCGACCGACCGAGGUGAGGCGAAACCGGGGCAACGGGAUGGGGCGGCAUGGCGGCGGAGGCGGGGUCGGUGAAGGUGAUUGCGCAAGCGGCAGCCGUGACGAGGUGGGUCAGACCAGCGGAGGUUGCGGCUGGGAGGGGGGGUCAUCGGUGUCGGCCAUGGGGCUAAGCGGCAGCUUGCGACCAGCGGUCGGGAGACGGGCGGGCGGCUGAAAGUUUCAGAUUCGGCGGUUGGCUGUUCACGCGCGGCUGGGCGUUUUACAUCACCAGGCGGCUGGAGAUGCAAAUUUGGAUCUCCAAGUGUUAUAUUUUACAUAACUUGGGGUAGGUGAUGUAAAAAUUUAUACAUCAGCAUCAUCUGUUAGAGCAGCGUUUUUCUUUUUGGCCUUGAAGAUGUAAAAAGCUGUUAUUUAUAUACCUACAUCAUCUAUUGGAGAUGCUCUCACAUCAUAAGACCAUAAGAGCUCAUAGGCCUGAUAGGUUAAAAUAUUAUGAUUAUACAUUAUUUAGACUUGCUAAAUGGAGCAAAAAAGUUACCCCUUUGUAAACUAAUAUAAGAGCGUUUAGAUCACUAAAGUAGUAAUCUAAACGCUCUUAUAUUAAUUUACGGAGGGAGUAGUUCAUACAUUGAACAGAGCAGCAAAAUAUAUCAGCAACGUAAAUAACAUGCAACAUCGGACUGAAAUCUAUAGAAAAUAAAAUGAUACUAAAACAGCGACAAUUAAUAUGAAUCCAAGGUAGUAGUAUUUUUUGAUUUUUUUGCCAGCCCUCCCACUUUUCAUUUUUCACAUGUCAGUCGCACCAACGUAAAUUUACGCACACACAAACAAAAAAGGUUGUACUAUCUCUGUUUCUUGCGGGUACUCAGUUAUUACACUACCCACUCAGUUAUACUACCCUACAAAAAUACGUUCGCUUAGCCUGGAAGCAAGGAAGAUAUAUGCGUGCACUGCAAGUAUAUAAGCAAGCCCCCCUCCCUCCUCUACAUUCAUCCAUCAUACAAUCCAUCUUGAAGGUCUUAAUCUGUCAUAGAACCCUCUCGAUCUUUCACAAGAAAACUAAAUGGAUCGGUCCAUGAAGGUCUUUGUGGUCGUCUUCCUGCUCCUUGUGGCCACAGGUGUGUAUGCUGUACUUACUGUUUAAGAUAACUGAUAAUACUGCUAAAUUAUGUACCGAAACGUCGUAUAUUUUGGAACGGAGGUAGUAUGUGAGAUGGCUGAUUUGCUCUAUCAAUUUGCCCGUGUAGGGUUCCAGGGACCGGUGCAAGUAGCUUUGGCGAGGGAUUGUACUUCACAGAGCCACGAGUUUGUGGGGAUGUGCCUGAGUGACCGCAACUGUGCAAGUGUUUGCCAGACCGAGUAUUUCACCGGAGGCAAGUGCGACCACCGACGUUGUGUCUGCACCAAGGACUGCUAGAUGGCCCCUGUAAUCUUCUUGCACACAUGGUUCCGUGUAAUAAUAAUAAUAAUAAUAACUGAAUAAUAAUACUAGAUCUGCAUCUAUGCAUGUAUGAUGCAUAUGUGAGUGCUACUCCUAGAAAGUACAUGAACAUCAUAUAAUCCGAACAAAGUUUCAGCAGGGAACCAGUUCAAGUUGAAUAAUCCAACACUCCGGAACUGGAGCGGCUACCG